GAUGAAGAACGUAGCGAAAUGCGAUACGUAAUGUGAAUUGCAGAAUUCAGUGAAUCAUCGAAUCUUUGAACGCAUAUUGCGCUCUCUGGUAUUCCGGAGAGCAUGCUUGUUUGAGUAUCAGUAAACACCUCAACUUCCAUAUCUUUUUUGAAAUGGGAGUUGGACUUGAGUGAUCCCAACGCUUUUCCUCACCGAAAAGUGGCGGGUUACUUGAAAUGCAGGUGCAGCUGGACUUUUCUCUGAGCUAUAAGCAUAUCUAUUUAGUCUGCCUAAAAAACAGAUUAUUACCUUUGCUGCAGCUAACAUAAAGGAGAUUAGUUCUUGUGAUGACUGAUGCAGGAUUCACAAAGACGGCUUCGGACGACUUUGUAAACUCGAUCUCAAAUCAAGUAAGACUACCCGCUGAACUUAAGCAUAUCAAUAAGCGGAGGA
RNAcentral lists this unclassified non-coding RNA (432 nucleotides) under soil metagenome. Its description in RNAcentral is "partial contains 5.8S ribosomal RNA, internal transcribed spacer 2, and large subunit ribosomal RNA". The stretch from base 1 to 120 matches the Rfam family "5.8S ribosomal RNA", at positions 35 to 154 of the family's 154-position model. The record is from RNAcentral.